CAACAGAUACUGAGCUAUGGGUACCCACCCAACCCCGUCAGGACCGGAAGGUAGCAGCGGCAAGUGGGUCACUCAUGAGACUCAGGGGGUUUGUUGGCU
Molecule: signal recognition particle RNA, 99 nt
Filed under: Sphaerochaeta sp.
Lineage: Bacteria; Pseudomonadati; Spirochaetota; Spirochaetia; Spirochaetales; Sphaerochaetaceae
Also listed under: 2 other names
Description: signal recognition particle sRNA small type
Rfam family: Bacterial small signal recognition particle RNA
About the family: The signal recognition particle (SRP) is a universally conserved ribonucleoprotein involved in the co-translational targeting of proteins to membranes. Archaeal SRP consists of a 7S RNA and homologues of the eukaryotic SRP19 and SRP54 proteins. In most bacteria, the SRP consists of a 4.5S RNA and the Ffh protein (a homologue of the eukaryotic SRP54 protein).
Source: RNAcentral